Molecule: ribosomal RNA, 240 nt
Filed under: uncultured Lactobacillus sp.
Lineage: Bacteria; Bacillati; Bacillota; Bacilli; Lactobacillales; Lactobacillaceae
Description: partial 16S ribosomal RNA
Rfam family: Bacterial small subunit ribosomal RNA
Source: RNAcentral
UAACCUGCCCAAGAGAUCGGGAUAACACCUGGAAACAGAUGCUAAUACCGGAUAACAACAGAUGAUGCCUAUCAACUGUUUAAAAGAUGGUUCUGCUAUCACUCUUGGAUGGACCUGCGGUGCAUUAGCUAGUUGGUAGGGUAACGGCCUACCAAGGCGAUGAUGCAUAGCCGAGUUGAGAGACUGAUAGGCCACAUUGGGACUGAGACACGGCCCAAACUCCUACGGGAGGCAGCAGAG